AGAGUUUGAUCAUGGCUCAGGACGAACGCUGGCGGCGUGCCUAACACAUGCAAGUCGAACGGAGAUAUUAAUGAAGCUUGCGAUUUAAUAUCUUAGUGGCGGACGGGUGAGUAACGCGUGGGUAAUCUGCCCAUAAGUGGGGGACAACAGUUGGAAACGACUGCUAAUACCGCAUAUGCUGAGCAAUCAGUAAAGGAGGCCUCUGAAUAUGCUUCCGCUUAUGGAUGAGCCCGCGUCUGAUUAGCUAGUUGGUGGGGCAACGGCCUACCAAGGCGACGAUCAGUAGCCGGCCUGAGAGGGUGAACGGCCACACUGGGACUGAGACACGGCCCAGACUCCUACGGGAGGCAGCAGUGGGGAAUAUUGCGCAAUGGGGGAAACCCUGACGCAGCGACGCCGCGUGAGCGAUGAAGGCCUUAGGGUUGUAAAGCUCUGUUUUAGGGGACGAAUGUUACAGGGAGUAAUAUGUCCUGUAAAUGACGGUACCCUAAGGGGAAGCCCCGGCUAACUACGUGCCAGCAGCCGCGGUAAGACGUAGGGGGCGAGCGUUGUCCGGAAUUACUGGGCGUAAAGAGCACGUAGGCGGAGACUUAAGUCAGGUGUGAAAGACCGGGGCUCAACCCCGGGGUGGCACUUGAAACUGGGUCCCUUGAGGGCAGGAGAGGGCAGUAGAAUUCCUGGUGUAGCGGUGAAAUGCGUAGAAAUCAGGAGGAAUACCAGUGGCGAAGGC
RNAcentral lists this ribosomal RNA (730 nucleotides) under uncultured bacterium. RNAcentral's name for it is "bacterial SSU rRNA". It matches the Rfam family "Bacterial small subunit ribosomal RNA", at positions 8 to 722 of the family's 1533-position model. The record is from RNAcentral.